GAAAGAUGGAGUCAUGGACCCACAUCCUCAUGUUGCUGCUGUUCUGGGUGUCUGGUACCAGUGGAGAUAUCGUGAUGACCCAGUCUCCAUCUUCCCUGGCUGUGUCAGUAGGAGAGAAGGUCACCAUCAGCUGCAGGUCCAGUCAGAGUCUUUUAAACACUGGAAAUCAAAAGAACUACUUGUCCUGGUACCAGCAGAAACCAGGGCAAUCCCCUAAGAUGCUGAUCUACUAUGCAUCCACCAGGCACACUGGGGUCCCCGAUCGCUUCACAGGCAGUGGAUCUGGGACAGAUUUCACUCUCAGCAUCAGCAGUGUGCAGGCUGAAGACCUGGCUGUUUAUUACUGUAUGCAGUAUUACAGCUAUCCUCCCACAGGGAGCAAAUUCCAGACCAUGCAAGGCCCUUGGUUGGUGCUUCAUUCUGCAGAGACCAUCUUUGUACCUGGUUAG
Molecule: non-coding RNA, 449 nt
Organism: Psammomys obesus (fat sand rat)
Lineage: Eukaryota; Metazoa; Chordata; Mammalia; Rodentia; Muridae
Source: the annotation of a RefSeq genome assembly